AGUGAACGCUGGCGGUAGGCCUAACACAUGCAAGUCGAACGGCAGCACAGUAAGAGCUUGCUCUUACGGGUGGCGAGUGACGGACGGGUGAGGAAUACAUCGGAAUCUACUUUUUCGUGGGGGAUAACGUAGGGAAACUUACGCUAAUACCGCAUACGACCUACGGGUGAAAGCAGGGGAUCUUCGGACCUUGCGCGAUUGAAUGAGCCGAUGUCGGAUUAGCUAGUAGGCGGGGUAAAGGCCCACCAAGGCGACGAUCCGUAGCUGGUCUGAGAGGAUGAUCAGCCACACUGGAACUGAGACACGGUCCAGACUCCUACGGGAGGCAGCAGUGGGGAAUAUUGGACAAUGGGCGCAAGCCUGAUCCAGCCAUACCGCGUGGGUGAAGAAGGCCUUCGGGUUGUAAAGCCCUUUUGUUGGGAAAGAAAAGCAGCAGGUUAAUACCCCGCUGUUCUGACGGUACCCAAAGAAUAAGCACCGGCUAACUUCGUG
RNAcentral lists this ribosomal RNA (492 nucleotides) under uncultured bacterium. RNAcentral describes it as "partial 16S ribosomal RNA". It matches the Rfam family "Bacterial small subunit ribosomal RNA", at positions 29 to 507 of the family's 1533-position model. The record is from RNAcentral.